UUUCCUUGCACUCAGGUUCUUACAGUAGGC
Molecule: non-coding RNA, 30 nt
Filed under: Mus musculus (house mouse)
Lineage: Eukaryota; Metazoa; Chordata; Mammalia; Rodentia; Muridae
Source: RNAcentral